Long non-coding RNA from Bombyx mori (domestic silkworm), 806 nucleotides. RefSeq lists it as uncharacterized. The record is from RefSeq and is a predicted model, not a curated record. The transcript has 3 exons. NCBI's taxonomy places the organism in Eukaryota, Metazoa, Arthropoda, Insecta, Lepidoptera, Bombycidae.
AUAAUUAUUGUCGAACAUUUUGUUUUCGCAUUUCAUUUCUUAACAACAAGUUGCAAAAACCACAUUUCGAGAUAAUAAAAUUAUAUCUACUAGUCUGGCUACUGUGAUAAAAAAAAAAACAUUAAUCCACAAAUUAAUAAUCAAAAUGACACAACAGCAGUGUUGAAUACGAAUUGUUUAAAACUUUCAAGUCCAGUUACCUUUUAUACAUUGUUAUAUUUUAUACAUACGAUGUUCACAUUUAAUGAGUUCCCAGUGGAAAAUCGUGGCUUACUAGACGGGACAAUAGUUCUUCAUCGUGGACAUCGUUCCAGAUUGUUCCUAAGGAACGUGGAUCUCCAUGAUGACCUGGAGCUUGACUAAGUCAGCUAGUCGGCGCGGCUUUAUGGCAGAAAAGCGGAAGACACAGUUACGGAUCAACAAGAUGGACUAUUAUUAGAAUACCAAAUGAACAGCCAAUAAUAUUAUAGAUAAUUUGGUCUUUUAAUAUGAAACACAAUUGUAACUUAGAUCACACAGCCAAUAUCAAAUUACCUUGGCUCUAACUAAUAACUCAUUACGUGAUUUACGCCUUCUCCAAACAUUGGAAUAUUAGUGGCUAUUCAAAUUAAUCCAAUUGCUAAUUUAGUCUUGUAAACAGUAAUACUGACUACAAUAUCAGGAGACUAGGUGUCUUUGUUAAAAUCUUUCGUUUUCUCAUACUCGUUCUUGUCUCGCAUGUCUUUAUUCCAACCACAGUAGAAUUUCCUAUUUUAGGAUCAAAAUCAAUACCUCAACUAAUCAUAAUUAAAUAAUAUAUCUAUAGA